Molecule: ribosomal RNA, 494 nt
Filed under: uncultured bacterium
Lineage: Bacteria
Description: partial 16S ribosomal RNA
Rfam family: Bacterial small subunit ribosomal RNA
Source: RNAcentral
GAUGAACGCUGGCGGCGUGCCUAAUACAUGCAAGUAGAACGCUGAAGGAGGAGCUUGCUCUUCUGGAUGAGUUGCGAACGGGUGAGUAACGCGUAGGUAACCUGCCUGGUAGCGGGGGAUAACUAUUGGAAACGAUAGCUAAUACCGCAUGACAACAGUUAUUGCAUGAUAACUGUUUAAAAGGGGCAACUGCUCCACUACCAGAUGGACCUGCGUUGUAUUAGCUAGUUGGUGAGGUAACGGCUCACCAAGGCGACGAUACAUAGCCGACCUGAGAGGGUGAUCGGCCACACUGGGACUGAGACACGGCCCGUACUCCUACGGGAGGCAGCAGUAGGGAAUCUUCGGCAAUGGACGGAAGUCUGACCGAGCAACGCCGCGUGAGUGAAGAAGGUUUUCGGAUCGUAAAGCUCUGUUGUAAGAGAAGAACGGGGGGGAGGGGGGAAAGUUCACACUGUGACGGUAUUUUACCAAAAAGGGACGGCUAACUACGU